AAGUUAAGCGGUUCGAGCUGAAUUAAGCGCAGAAGUUCGGUACAAAGAAUAAUAACUAGAAAAUGCAUUUCCUGAAGGAAAUACCAGUGCAUGAAAUGCAAAAGUUAAGAAAGGAAGAAAAAAAAAAGAAGAGUGAAAGAACGAAAGAAGAGUGGAAGAAGAGUAAAAGAAGGAAAGAAGUGAGGAAGAAGGAAAGAAGAGUGGAAGAAGGAAAGAAGAAAGGAAAGAAGAGUGAAGAAAGGAAAGAAGAAAAAGAAAGAAGAGUGAAAGAAGGAAAGAAGAAAGAAAAGAAGAGUAGAAGAAGGAAAGAAGAGUGGAAGAAGGAAAGAAGAGUGAAGAAAGAAAAGAAGAGUAGAAGAAGGAAAGAAGAGUGGAAGAAGGAAAGAAGAAAGGAAAGA
Long non-coding RNA from Clupea harengus (Atlantic herring), 398 nucleotides. Lineage: Eukaryota; Metazoa; Chordata; Actinopteri; Clupeiformes; Clupeidae. The record is from Ensembl.